RNAcentral lists this long non-coding RNA (368 nucleotides) under Elaeis guineensis (African oil palm). RNAcentral describes it as "long non-coding RNA (EGUI_LNC058470)". The record is from RNAcentral. Lineage: Eukaryota; Viridiplantae; Streptophyta; Magnoliopsida; Arecales; Arecaceae.
UGGGUCUUUGGAUUCCUAGAUCUUACGGUUGGAUACUCAUGGAAGGAAAAAAAAGAAAAAAAACAAGACUGAAAUCGGUGAAUGAUUUUGAGCAGACGUGGCCCAAGCAAAUUCCAUGAUAACUAAGAUACAGGUGCUUCAGUUCUCUUAGAGUAGGUUUUGAUUUGACAAAUAAAAAAAUCCAGCAACGAAAUCAGUUGGUAUGAUGCUGUUGGGGCCUCUCAAUAAAAAAAAUCUAAGAUUUAAUUUCCAGCUACCAAACAUAUGACCUACCAAGACAAUAAAAAGCUGAAAACCAUGUAUAAAACGAACAUAUAUCGUACCGAUCCAAUAUGGUCAUACGGUUACUUAUCUAAACCACAAAGAAU